AUUUUAUACUAAAGUAAAAUAGACUAAAACGCAUAACUUUCGAAAGACUAAGAAUACAUUUAAAGAUGCUAUGUAUUUAAAGAAUAUUCCCAUGAAAAGACAAAAACUAAGACUAAAACAAAACUGUAAAAAAUGAUGACUGCUUUCAGUCUAUUUUCCUUAAACUUAGACAAACUGCACCAUCUCCCUCUGUAGGGUGGCACAGAUAGUCUCCAUUAGAAAAGCCAACUUUCAGUCAAGUGUGUCUUUUCUAGUCUUUCCAUGGAAACUCAAAUGGGGCAAAGUGAUUUGUGUGUGUGAGGCUGUGACUGGGCUGAGCGAUAAGAGAGACAGCGAGAGAAAGAGACCUACUCGUCUGCUGACUACAGAGGAGUGAAGUGUCACAGUGCAGCCUGGUUCUCUCAGGACAGAAAAUGAGGACGGGAGGGGAUCUGAGACAUUAGCACGCACAGUGCUGAUUCACGGCAAAUUUCACCGCUGUCUUCCUCUAGUGCUGAUAGCGCUGCAGAAUAAAAGUACUUUCCUGACAGUCUGCAGGGCCCGGGAUGGCUGGGUAUGCAGGGAAGAGAGGUCUAUGCCAGAGAACACAACCUAUGGAGGGGAUUUGGGACAGAGGGGUGGAAAUUCAACAUGACAUCUUCAUCUUUAACAUGGAUGGACCAACAGGACUGUGAACAUAUUCCAACCUGAAUAACAUAAAGAGAAGUGACGUGUGGCCAAGUAUGGUGACCCAUACUCGGAAUUUGUGCUUUGCAUUUGACCCAUCCAAUUGCACACACACAGUAGUGAACACACACACUUGCUCAAGGGUCUCACCUCAGUCGUGAUAUUGAAGGUGGAAACAAGCACUGGGUAUUAACUUCCUCCACCAAUAAUUCCUGCUGGACCUGAGACUUGAACCCGCAACCUUCGGGUUACUAGUCUGACUCUCUAACCAUUAGGCAACGACUGCCUCUAAAAGGCAAGAGGGCUGAUAUGAUGUCCACUAAGCAACAUUUUCCAAACAACAACAACUCAACCUGGGAAGACAGACAAAAAAAAAACAAAAGUAAUUAUCACAUAUAACUAGUUUACUCUGAUUACAGUCUAUGUCUUAGCAAUAUUUCUAGACUUCUGCCAUUUGUGAUAGUGGAAGUUUUAUAAACAUUCAUAUUCAGUUAUUUAUUUGGUUCCACAGUGUUUGCUGAUUUUUAUUUAAACUGUGUAUUUCAUAUUUAUUUGGUUUCAGAGUGUUUACUGAUCUUCAGUUUUGUAUACCUAAACUUUGUGGAAGUUAUUUGUUAUUUUAUAUUAGGCAUAUAGCAUGGUGUAUUUUUAUUCAUUUUGUUAAUAAAAGUUCUACGUUGUAUUUUGUUGCUUGAAUU
This is a long non-coding RNA of Cyprinus carpio (common carp), 1364 nucleotides long. Lineage: Eukaryota; Metazoa; Chordata; Actinopteri; Cypriniformes; Cyprinidae. The record is from Ensembl.